ACAAAACCGAAAGAGGCAAAAAAAACAAAAAAAACAAAAAAAGCCACCUAAAAAUAACCAAAAAGGCAUCGCCGCGCUCGCUCCGGCUGUAAAUACCGUAGGUAACGUGUGCCGCCACCCGCUCUCAUAGUAAGUGAGAAUCUGUGUUAUUUUGCUCUGUUGUUUUCUCCCUCUCAACCCCUUACCCUAUUUUGGAAAAAGAGGGAAAAAAAAUGUUGUUUUUUUUCUUGCGGGAGGGGGUUGGGGGGGGGCAAAACCUGUCCCGUCUUUUUCCCCCCGUAGGUAUGUGGCUAGAAAAGCCUAGAACCGGCCGACGAGAGGGGACAAAGUAAAGGAAAAUGAUAAUAAUGAUAAGGAAAAGCGAGCCAGUCUCAGGAUAUGUGUACCCCAAAGCGGCCGACCGGCGGGCAGAGGUUAGACAGCCGCAGCGCUCGGUGCGGAGCAGCUCUCCCGAGGGAAACGCGGGGCCGUUGGCGCUCUGGUUGUAUUAAUUCGGACUCUUUUUUGGGGGGGAAGUAAGCCCUUUCCAUUGUCGUCGUGGCGGUUUCUCCCCUUGCAGCUUGGGGAGGGGGCGGCGCGAGCGAGCGGUGUCUUGC
RNAcentral lists this long non-coding RNA (596 nucleotides) under Struthio camelus australis. RNAcentral describes it as "lncRNA (ENSSCUG00000009780.1)". The record is from RNAcentral. Lineage: Eukaryota; Metazoa; Chordata; Aves; Struthioniformes; Struthionidae.